RNAcentral lists this ribosomal RNA (449 nucleotides) under uncultured bacterium. Its description in RNAcentral is "SSU rRNA". It matches the Rfam family "Bacterial small subunit ribosomal RNA", at positions 26 to 518 of the family's 1533-position model. The record is from RNAcentral.
AGAACGAACGCUGGCGGCAGGCUUAACACAUGCAAGUCGAACGCGUGUAGCAAUACACGAGUGGCGCACGGGUGAGUAACGCGUGGAUAUCUGCCUUUUGGUUCGGAAUAACCCCGGGAAACUGGGGCUAAUACCGGAUGGUUCCUACGGGAUAAAGAUUUAUCGCCAAAAGAUGAGUCCGCGUCCGAUUAGCUAGUUGGUGGGGUAAUGGCCUACCAAGGCGACGAUCGGUAGCUGGUCUGAGAGGACGAUCAGCCACACUGGGACUGAGACACGGCCCAGACUCCUACGGGAGGCAGCAGUGGGGAAUAUUGGACAAUGGGGGCAACCCUGAUCCAGCCAUGCCGCGUGAGUGAUGAAGGCCUUCGGGUUGUAAAGCUCUUUUGGCGGGGACGAUGAUGACGGUACCCGCAGAAUAAGUCCCGGCUAACUUCGCGCCAGCGAGCCGC